Molecule: non-coding RNA, 2189 nt
Organism: Peromyscus maniculatus bairdii (prairie deer mouse)
Lineage: Eukaryota; Metazoa; Chordata; Mammalia; Rodentia; Cricetidae
Source: RefSeq, a predicted model, not a curated record
AUGUCAGUAGCCUUCUCCCUCUAAUGGAUAUUGGAGCAUAAGCAAGACUGUAAAUCUGUCUAGAGGGCUAAAUUCCAUCUCAUAUGAACCUCAAUUGUUUCCAUUUCCUGUACACAUGAUGCAGAAUGCAGUGAUUGUAAACCAUCUGCUCCUUGUCAGGACUUUCUGUACUUGGUAUAGACUGUGAUCAACACAGCAGUGAUAAUGGAAUGCAAGUAAUCCUGUGCUGUCAAGAUGCUUGUGAUGAAACUUUUUGGACAUGGAGGAUGCUUGGCCUGAGGGGGAGGAAAUCUAACCUAGCACUCAGAAGAACAAUUCCUGCAUCCCGAUGCUUAGAAAGUUUGUGCUUUUAACUGGUGACAUUAAUGUUCAAAGUGACCCCAAGUGUAGUGCUAAAAGGCUGUCUAGAGUUCCUAGUGACAAGAAAACUGUGUUGUGUGGUGUGGAGAAAAUCCACAAGCAACAAACUUCAUCCAAGCAGUGUUAAUGAAUCAGUGUUGUUACAUUUUUGGAAAAAUGAAGAGGGAAUCCACCAAUCUGCACAUAAAACUGUGCUAAGAGGGGCUCAAGUGACAUCCCUGGUGAGCACUGAAGCCACGGAAAGUGGCUGGAUGUGUGCACUCAGGGAUAAGAAGCCGUGAGGCUGGCAAUCAGAGAAAUUCACAGUCACGUUUGGCGACAUCAGGAAAAUGUUAAUCUCUUCCAGACUAAUAUGUUGUUAUAAAGAAAUGCGGGAUCUAAUUGUUUUAAAGGGAUACAUGUCAAAUACAGUAUCUUUAAAUAAUAAGAACUGAUCCAUUAAGGAAAGUGUGAGGAUGAGGGCUGUCCUGACACAGUAUUUCCCUAAGGAGCCAUGGCUUAGUGUUCACUAAUCUGUGUACAGUGACUUUCUAGAACUGUCUACCAUGAACAACAAGACAUGCCUGACCAUUUAUCCAGUAUUGUACAAUGUUUCUCUACUGUGGUCAUUUGUAUACCAUGCAAUGUUUGGCAAUUUCAUUAUCAAAGCUGGGUGUGAAGGGGUGCUACCAGCAUAUAGUGCAAAGGUCAAGGAUGCAAUUAAGUAAGGGUCUUUAAACAUACAAGGCAGCUUCCAAAUACAAAGACGUAUUCCAUAAAAUAUGUUGAAAGCAGUGAAACUAAAUUCGAGCGACUGUCUCUGUGAAGAGUUGGGGAACUAAGUCUAGAAAGGGCCAGAGACUGACUGUUUUCAUCUUUGUAGGUCACAUGGUCUUCCACAUGGACUCAGCCCCUCCGCUGUAGCUUGAGAGUAGCCACUGACAGCAUCCUGGUUGGUGAAUGGAUGCAGCUGUUUCCCAAGAAGCUCUUUGUAAAAACUGUGAGUGUGUUAGAUUUGGGCCUAGGCUGAGCUGUGGACUCCUGCACAGUUACUCUUGGUUGUGGAUAUGCAUUAGAAAAAAACUAGGAACAUUUGAACAUCGCUUUUGCCUGGACUUCCCAUUCCUUCAAACCCCGACCUGCUUGGUCUGGGAUGGCCCUUCCUGGGCUGGCAACGUUUCAAAGCUCCCAGGAGUUAAACUGCAGAGCCAGCACCAAAAGCACUGCUCUGAAAAAGGCGGUGUUUGUGUGUUAGGAAGUUGACCCAGCACCCUAGACCCUUAUCAGUGGUCAGCAGACCCUCUUGAGCUGGCUUGUGUCCCAGGCACUCUCCUGAAAGUCCCCAGGCCUGUGCCCUUUUAUUAGCACUUACUGCUCCGAACUCUGUAGCUCUUCUUUAAACACCAUGCUGUCAGUAUCCUGAAACCACUCUCCGGGCUCUCCUCAAGGCACCCCCUGUUUUCUGCUGCUUCUCCUGCCUUCUGCGCCCGCCCAUGAUUGUCUUUUGUUUUGUUUUUGUUUUUCAAGACAGGGUUUCUCUGUGUAGUUUUGGUGCCUGUCCUGGAUCUCGCUCUGUAGACCAGGCUGGCCUUGAACUCACAGAGAUCCACCUAUCUCUGCUUCCAGAAUGCUGGGAUUAAAGGCAUGCAUCACCACCGCCCGGCCCAUGAUUAGUUUUAAUGCUCUCCUCUCCACUGUGCCCUGGCUCUUUCUGAAAAUAAGCAAUAGUCAUGUUACUGUCUUGUUAGGACCCCUCUAGUGAUGAUUGUUUUAAAAGGCCACCUAGUGAUUGUAUUCUUUAUGAGAACCGUUGCUGUGGAAAUUAGCAAUAAAAAUUAUUAUUCAUGAAA